CCUACGGGUGGCAGCAGUGGGGAAUAUUGCACAAUGGGGGAAACCCUGAUGCAGCGACGCCGCGUGAGUGAAGAAGUAAUUCGUUAUGUAAAGCUCUAUCAGCAGGGUAGCAAAUGACGGUACCUGAGUCAGAAGCCCCGGCUAACUACGUGCCAGCAGCCGCGGUCAUACGUCAGGGGGAAGCGUUAUCCGGAUGUACUCGGUGGAAAGGGAGCCUAGACGGCAAUGCAAGGCUCGAGGUAAAGGCGGGGGCUGAACCCCCGGACUGCUGUGGAAACUGUACGGCUGGAGUGCAGGAGAGGUAAGUGGAAGGCCUAGUGUAGCGGUGAAAUGCGUAGAUAUUAGGAGGAACACCAGUGGCGAAGGCGGCUUACUGGACUGUAACUGACGUUGAGGCUCGAAAGCGUGGGGAGCAAACAGGAUUAGAUACCCGUGUAGUC
RNAcentral lists this ribosomal RNA (440 nucleotides) under uncultured bacterium. RNAcentral's name for it is "partial 16S ribosomal RNA". It matches the Rfam family "Bacterial small subunit ribosomal RNA", at positions 338 to 795 of the family's 1533-position model. The record is from RNAcentral.